RNAcentral lists this transfer RNA (66 nucleotides) under Amphioctopus neglectus. Its description in RNAcentral is "tRNA-Gly". Lineage: Eukaryota; Metazoa; Mollusca; Cephalopoda; Octopoda; Octopodidae. The record is from RNAcentral.
AUUUUAUUAGUAUAAAAAGUAUGGUUGUUUUCCAAACAAUUGGUUUAAUUAUUAUUAAAUAAAAUA